Molecule: ribosomal RNA, 253 nt
Filed under: uncultured bacterium
Lineage: Bacteria
Description: partial 16S ribosomal RNA
Rfam family: Bacterial small subunit ribosomal RNA
Source: RNAcentral
CGAAGGGGCUAGCGUUGCUCGGAAUUACUGGGCGUAAAGGGCGCGUAGGCGGCGGUAGUAGUCAGGCGUGAAAUUCCUGGGCUUAACCUGGGGACUGCGCUUGAUACGCUAUUGCUAGAGGACGGAAGAGGGUCGUGGAAUUCCCAGUGUAGAGGUGAAAUUCGUAGAUAUUGGGAAGAACACCGGUGGCGAAGGCGGCGACCUGGUCCGUUACUGACGCUGAGGCGCGACAGCGUGGGGAGCAAACAGGAUU